This 404-nucleotide ribosomal RNA is filed under the name Verrucomicrobiota bacterium. Its description in RNAcentral is "Verrucomicrobia bacterium partial 16S ribosomal RNA". It matches the Rfam family "Bacterial small subunit ribosomal RNA", at positions 355 to 776 of the family's 1533-position model. The record is from RNAcentral. Lineage: Bacteria; Pseudomonadati; Verrucomicrobiota.
UGGGGAAUAUUGCACAAUGGGGGAAACCCUGAUGCAGCGACGCCGCGUGAGCGAUGAAGGCUUUCGAGUCGUAAAGCUCUGUCCUAGGGGAAGAUAAUGACGGUACCAUAGAAGAAAGCCCCGGCUAAUUACGUGCCAGCAGCCGCGGUAAUACGUAAGGGGCGAGCGUUGUCCGGAAUUAUUGGGCGUAAAGAGUUCGUAGGCGGCAAAUUAAGUCAGAUGUGAAAACUAAGGGCUCAACCCAUAGAUUGCAUCUGAAACUGAUAUGCUUGAGUCAAGGAGAGGAAAGUGGAAUUCCUAGUGUAGCGGUGGAAUGCCUAGAUAUUAGGCAGAAUCCCGGUGGCGAAGGCGGCUUUCUGGACUGAAACUGACGCUGAGGAACGAAAGCGUGGGGAGCAAACAGG